Molecule: ribosomal RNA, 504 nt
Filed under: uncultured bacterium
Lineage: Bacteria
Description: partial 16S ribosomal RNA
Rfam family: Bacterial small subunit ribosomal RNA
Source: RNAcentral
AUUGAACGCUGGCGGCAUGGCUUAGACAUGCAAGUCGAACGGCAUCGGUGGAGCAGCUUGCUCGUUGAUUCAGCGGCGGACGGGUGCGUAAUGCCUAGGAACCUGCCUGGCAGCUGGGGAUAACGUUCUGUAAGGAACGGUAAAACCGCAUAAGUGCUGCGGGAGAGAGCAGGGGACCUCCGGACCUAGUGCUCUCAGAGGAGCGUAAGUCGGAUUAGCUAGUUGGUGAGGUAAUGGCUCACCAAGGCGACGAUCCGUAGCUGGUCUGAGAGGAUGAUCAGUAACAGUGGAACUGAGACACGGUGCAGACUCCUACGGGAGGCAGCAGUGGGGAAUAUUGGACAAUGGGCGAAAGCCAGAUCCAGCCAAGCCGCGUGUGUGAAGAAGGUCUUCGGAUUGUAAAGCACGUUAGGUUGGGAGGAAUGGAAGUAAGUUAAUACCUUGCUGUUUUGACGUUACCAACAGAAUAAGCGCCGGCUAACUUCGUGCCAGCCGCCGCUGUAA